This 16149-nucleotide long non-coding RNA is filed under the name Theobroma cacao (cacao). RNAcentral describes it as "long non-coding RNA (TCAC_LNC001821)". Lineage: Eukaryota; Viridiplantae; Streptophyta; Magnoliopsida; Malvales; Malvaceae. The record is from RNAcentral.
CAAGGAUAAACAUGAAGCAUGGAUAAUUAAAUAUGACAUAAUUAGUCCAAAUAAUUAUUCAAACUUGAAACAUAUAAACUUCCACAUCCAAAUGAUAAAGACAAAUGUUUCACCAACCAUUCCCAUGGCAAUCACAUAAUUAAUGUUUCAAAAACAUCCAAAUAAAUUAUCCAACAUGUUGAGAUAAAUAGGAGUGUAACCAUCCAAUGUAGCAUUUAAUGCUUUAGGUAGUCCAUCCAUGUGGUCACCUCCUCAGCCAAGAUCCUACUCAUCUUUAUCUUUACUCCCUGCAAUAUGUUAAACAUAUGAGAACCAACUUUGAGGUAUCAUAUACCUUUAAUAUAUAAAGUAGAAUUAUUUAGCAAAUGGUACUUGAAUCAGAAACUUCAAUAAGCUUCUUUUUCUUGCUCACAGUAGCUAGGUACUCCUUGUAGUUCUUCCUCCAAUGCCCAAGUUUGCCACAAUGAUGGCAAAUGUCCUUCUCUUUGUCCUUUUUGACACCUCCCUUAGGCUUCAAGGCCUUCUCAUUUUGGGAUUUUACUUUCUUCCCUUUUUGGGCUUUCUUCUUCUGUUGCUUCGUAUGAGCCUUGGAAGAAGAAACAAGAAGCAAUGAUCCCUUAUCUUUCUUGAUGGACCUCUCUAUCGUGUCUAGCAUAUUUAGAAGUUCAGGAAGAAUGGCUUCCAAUCGAUUCAUAUGAAAGUUCAACACAAACUGACUAAAGCUAUUAGGAAGAGAUUGUAGAACUAAGUCUAUACUUAGCUCAUAAUUCAUUGCUAAUCCCAAUUGUCCAAGUCUCUCGAUGAGUCCAAUCAUCUUCAACACAUGGGGUCUAACAGAACUACCUUCUGCCAUCGUGCAUCGAAAUAGCUCUUUAGAGAUCUCAUAUCUCUCAGUGCGCCCCUCCUUAUCGAACAGUUCUCUAUGGUGAAGAAUCAUGGAUUGGACAUCCAUAUGUUCAUACUGCUUUUGAAGCUCAAGGGUCAUACUGGCUAGCAUCACGCAUGCUGCCUGAUCAUCGUCAUCUUUAUGACGUUGAUAUGCUUCCUUAUCCUCAGCACUAACAUUAGUAGUAGGGACUGGUGGAAUAGGAGUUUCAAGGACAUAGGAUUUUUUCUCCUGUUUCAAGACGAUCUUAAGGUUCCGAAACUAAUCGAGGAAGUUGGGGCUAGUGAGUUUAUUUGCAUCCAAGAUGCUCCGCAAUGACAGAUUAUUAGCCAUGUAUAUAAAUUAGGCCUAAAUAGAUAAAAUAAAGCAAUAAGUAAACAUCAUGCAUAAACUAUUUAAAACAAGGUUUUAAAAUUUUAAAUUGUUCUCCCACUAUUUUCUACAAGAUGAUAACUCUUCAUAUCACCUCGAGAGAUCUCUACUAGGAUUCUCUUAGUGGGCUAGGAUCCCAUCCAUAUAGUCAUGGACUUGAGUGUGCUCAACAAACCAUGAUAGAUAGAUUAGGUAGGUAAUUGAGCUUACCAAUUGUAUCUCUAUACAACUCCUAGAUCAGCUAGGCGACAACACAUUAUCUAAACAUAUCAUAUAUGUUUCGCCUAGCCUUUGCCUCUAGUUUCCAUAAUAAUCAAGUUUCCAAGCAUCCAGAUUUUAUGAAACUAGUUGACUAAGACCCACCAAUAGCUCAAACAUACUUGUGUAAAAGUGUGGCCUUGAGUGUGCUUAACAAGCCUCCGAUUAAAAAAGUAGCCAAGUUAUCUUGCUAUAUGGUGGAAGGCAACUUAAUCAUACGUGGUAUGUGUUGGCUCCAUUAGUUUUUGAUGAUAAUAAAACAUUCUCAUUUAUUUGUGUCUAAUAUCUUUACUUGAGUGUGCAGGAAAAUUAAUAUAUGAAAUUAAUUAUUUAACUCUUCAAAGAGUAUAUCAAGAGAAAAAGAGGGAUAAAAAUAACAAGAUGUAACUGUCUAACAAGGAGGAAGCCUAUUGGUGAAACAAGGAAGAAUGUUGGUUGACCAAGUUUUAAGUUGGAGGAAUGACAGGUUGAAGAGUUUGAGAAAUAGAACCAACUUAGUCGACCAAGUCAGUCGACUAAGUGCUCUCUGCCAGAAUCUGUAACCUGAAACAGAACCAACUUAGUCGACCAAGUCAGUCGACUAAGAACUCUCUAUCUGCAAAUUGAACCAGAGCACUACAAGACAAAUUAACGGCUAGAACUCAUCCUCAACUGUUUCCAACGGGUAUAAAAUUGCCAAACUGCCAUUAGAGUUGCAUCUCCAAGUAUAAAAGUGUGAAACCUUGUUAAGCUCGAUUAAAAGACGGUAUUAUACCGAGUGGUACAACUAAGUUAAAUCGAGCCUUGAACUAGUUCAAAUAGAAAUUCUAAGAGGAAUUUGAAAAUUUUGAAACCCACAGAAUGGCUUAGAAUAGUGAUUUGGAGUUCAAGGUCCAGUUUGGAGUCCAUCAGGAAAAUUGACCGAUUAGGGACAAAACGGUCAUUUUACCAUUUGAUGAUAAAAUGGGGAUUUUUAGCCAAGAUUUGAUCACAUUUGACCAAAAGUAAUUAUAUGAAAUAUAAUUAUGAUUAUUGGAGUAUAAAAUGAUGUUUACUAGUGAAAUAAAUUAUGAUUCCUGGUAUUUUUGGAGUACAAGGGCAAAAUGAUAAUUUUGCCACUAGAGGACUAAACGGGAAUUUUUUUAAAAUGAGUUUUUGCCCCAUAUGGUUAAUAUUAAUCAAUGUUAGUGUUAUUUGAGGUUGAAAAGUAGAAAUAAUUUGAUUUCGGUACAUUUCGGAGUAUAGGGGCAAAAUCGUAAUUUUUUCACUCCGGGGGCAAAUCGGUAAAUUUUUCGCCCCAACACUUGUCAAGGCCAAGGGAUUUUAUUCAUUCCUGUAAAUGGAUAAACAUGAGAAAUGUGUGGUGGAGAGAGAUUGCUUAAUGGCUAAGUAUGACACAUGGACCAAUGGAAUGGUGACAUGUGUCAAAAUCUCAUCCAUUCAUUAUUUUCUUUAUAAAAGGCAUAAAAAUCAGCCCAUUUCUCCCAUAGUGAUCAGCCAAACCAGAAGAGAAGAGAAACCAAGGAAGAACAAGCCCUAGGUGGGAAAAAUCAAAGAGAAAGUGUUGGAAUUCAAGGAAACAAGCUAGGUAAGUUAAAAUUUCUUUAAUUCUCCUUGAUACCUAGCUUACCCAUGCUUUUGUUCUUGAUUUCCAUGGUUGAAUAUUGAGUUAUCAUGAUGAAUUCAAUUCUGAAAAAUGGGUAUGGAAGAGGAAUUGUUGUUGGAAUAAUUUGAUUUUAGACUAUGUUAGUGUUUAGGGAUAGUUAAGCAUGGUUAUGAACAAAAACACAAAAGAAAUAUUCAAUUUCUCUAGGGUUCCUUGUUGGUCGAACCAUGAGGGCUGAAUAUCAAUGGGGGAUUGUUUUUAUUUCAAGGAAAAUGGCUUGGAAAAUGAUGAAUUAAGGUGAAACGGUUAUGUAGAAAAAUUUUCGGUGCUAGUGCACCAAAUGAUCGAAUUUUUCUAUAAGGAACUGUGAGGGUUCUAAUGCUGAAUUUGGCUUUAUUUAAAUGGUAUGCGGUAAAUUAAGGUAUUAGGGGAGAAAUGGAUUAAUUUGGAGUGAAAUUGGAUGCACUGGCCAACUUAUCGGAUGAAAAAUCGACUUAGGCCAGUAUUGAGUCUAGAUGGCUACCCAUGCAUUUUUCAUUUCAUAUCAUAUAUAUAUCGAGCUUGAAAUAGCCUCUGACUGUUAGACACAAUUUAAUUGGAAUAUGUGUCAUGGAUUAUGGCUAGGUGGUGAGCCAUUGGAUACGGGUAAAGGACUGUACCCGCGGACUAAAAAUAAGAGUAUUUCUACUCCUAAUACAGGUGAGUGGACUUGCAUUUCAAACUUAUUUUGGGGAAUAUGAAAGAUUCUAUCCAACUUGUCUUAAAAAAUGUACCUUGGGAACAAGCUUUUAGUAAAAUGAUUUUAUAUUGUGAAAAUGUGCUAUACAAUGAUUUAUGUGUUAUCACAAUAUGAUAAAAUGCAUGAUAUGCAUUGGAUGCUUCUUUGCAUGUUGAUUUGGACCCGGUUAUGUGCGAGUAGGAGUGCAUAUAAGCCGUUGCUGACCCGGCUAUGUGAGAGUAGGAGUGCACAUAAGCCAUUGCUGACCCGGCUAUGUACGAGUAGGAGUGAACAUAAGCCGUUGCUGACCCGGCUAUGUACGAGUAGGAGUGCACAUAAGCUGUUGCUAACCCUACUAUGUGCGAAUAGGAGUGCACAUAAGCCGUUGCUGUCCCGGCUAUGUGCUAGUGGGAGUGCACAUAAGCCGUUGCUGACCCGGCUAUAUGUGAGUGGGAGUACGCAUAAGCCGUUUCAUAUGAGAUGAUGAUGAUGGGAUGGUGUGCAUGAUGAUGAUGAUGGGAUGGUGUGCAUGUUGAUGAUGGGUAUAUGGUUGUAAAUGCAAAUAUGUAAGCAUUUGUUUUGCUGGAAUUUGGAAGUUUACAUGUGUUACAUGUUGCUAUUGUUAUUUUAGCAGGAUGACUUGUUUUAAGUGAAAAAUGAGACUUUUUCCUUGAUGUUCUGGUUCUCGCUGCAGCGAGAAUGAAGUUCGCUACAGCGAGAAACUUUCUAUCCAUUUUGCUAACUUGUGGGUUUUUGCCAUACAUCCCAUUUCUUUGGUACCAUAGUUGAGCAUGGAUUUUUGUAAAGUGAUUUACUCAUGUGGGGUUUACAUGAGGGGUUUAAAGGAGCUAAAACAAUUGCAUGGUUUUGAGAAAAUGAAUGCAUCAUGAUUUCGAUAAGCAUUCCUUAUGGUAUGCUUGUUCCCUUCUUGUUCACUCAUUGAAUAUUGUACUCACGUUUUAUAAAAAAUUCAUGUUUACAGAUCAGGUGACUAUUGGACCCCAGAUCGAGGAGUCCCCGUAGUGCAUUUCCUGGGUAUGUGUCUGGCAUUCGAUAGUAAUCCCUUUUAUUGUAAAUGUCUCCGCUGGAAGUCAUGGGUCCUUUUGUAUUGUGAAUACAAUCUAAUAAUGUGAAUAUGUGUAUGCAAUGUAAAUUGCUAAAUACAUGACUGGUAUAGUACAUGUAUAUCAUUAUCGAUAAUGCCAUUGUGUUUUGGCUAUGUUCACACCCGUGACAAGGUGUGUGUGUAUGCAUGAUAUGAUAAAUUUGUUAAGGAAAAGUAAAUGGAUAGGCUUGCUUGGGUUUAGUGAGCUAUGCUCAUUGAGCUCAAGUGCCGGUCAUGGCCCGGGAAAUUGGGUCGUGACAAAAAGGGUCUUCCAACAAUUAGAAACAAGUUUUUAGAAGCCUUGAAUGAGAUUUGAGCUAUAAAAAGUUAAAAAAACCAGAAAAUCUUCACUGCACUUGUCUGCACUUGAACGCCUACUCUUUGCAUUUGUAUUUUGCACUCAAUCUUCUAUCAAUCAGAUCAACUAGUGAUCAUAGGUACUUUCUUUUACUACUUUUCUUAUAUUCUUAGAGUGAGGAAGUCACUCUAAGGAGUUAUUCAAGCUUGGGAUAGCUUGAUUGUUGUAGGUUGUGGUUGAGCCUUGGAAAAACCACUUUGGGUUUUAGUUUAGCCCGUGAAAAACUAGUGUAAAAGGUUUUGGCUGAGCCUUAAAAAGUCAUUGUAAAGCUUGGUGAAAGCUUAUGAAUUUCACCAGUUCUUAGUGGAUUUGUUGGAAAAAUCCUAGGUUGGAUAAUCAAGGUAGUGGAUGUAGGUCUUGGACCGAACCACUAUAAAUUACUGCGCAUUAUGUACUCUGGUUUUAUUUUCUUUGUUCUAAAAAUUAAUUUCUCAUCUUGUUAAGAGCCGAGUUGUGCUAUUCACCCCCCUCUAGCAUAUUUUAUUGGGACCAACAAGUGGUAUCAGAGCUAGUUCCCUGUUAUUAAGGUCUAACACCCUUGGGAAGAUCCAAAUGGCUCUCCAAAAAUCUAUAGUUGCUAAGGGACAGUCCAUAAACAGACCACCUCUAUUUGAUGGCUCAAAUUACCCCUAUUGGAGUAUUAGAAUGUCAAUUUAUGUAAGGGCAAUAGAUUAUGAGAUGUGGGAUGUCAUGACCGAUGGUCUUUUCAUUUCACUGAUUAAAAAUUUGGUCAAUGGUAAGAAAACUCCUAAGGAUAGAAAUAAAUGGACAACAACUGAAAUGAAGAGAGCAUAAAUCAACUCUAAGGCCAUGCACACUCUCAUUUGUGCACUUGGUUAUAGAGAAUACGAUAAAGUGUCCAUGUGCAAAAGUGCCAAGGAAAUUUGACAAAAAUUAGAAGAGUUAUAUGGAGAAACAAAGAUGCAAAAGGAAGAAAAGGCAAAGAAAAACAGAAAAUUGAAGAAGUCAAUGGUGGCUGCAACAUGGUCAGACAAUGAUACUUCAAGCUCAAAUGUUGAAGAAGAAAAAGCUGAAGAAUGAGCAAAUUUAUGUCUAAUGGCCAAAGAAGAUGAAUUUGAGGUAUCUUCAUCUCCUUGUGAUAUUUCAAUUUAUGAGUUUCAAGAAGAAUAUGAAAGUCUCUAUGAUGAGUUUGAAAAACUUGUAUCAAAAUAUAAAACCUUGAAAAGAAAAGCUACAUCUCUUGAGAUUGAUUUGCAAAAGAUAAAACAUGAUUUCAACUCUAUUUUUGAACAAAGAAAUUUUCUGCAAAUUGAAUUGGAACAUUCAAAAGUAGAUUUUGAAACUUUAAAAUUGGAAUUGGAAAACAAAACUGAAGCCUUACAAAAGGUAAGUGAAGAAAAUGCUGCACUCGAAAGUUUGAAAAAUGAAACUUCAAAAAGAGACACAUACUUCAAGAAAAAUUUUGUUAAUGCAUCAUCUAGACGUUAUAUUUGUGAUAGAAUUGGUCAUUUAUCCUAUGACUGCUAUAGAAAAAGAAGUAUGCAGAAAAUAAGAAGAAUUUGGGUUCCAAAAGGAUCCUACAUUGCUACUAACCUUCAAGGACCCAUCAAAGUAUGGGCACCUAUUAAGAAAAAUUAAAAAUCUGUCUUGUAGGUUGAGCUGCACUUAAAAGAGACAUGUUCAAGAGCUCAACUCAAGAAGAAGCAGCCUUGGUACAUGGACAGUGGUUGCUCACGACACAUGACAGGAGAUGAAAUGUUAUUUGCUCAGCUGGACAAAAGAAAGGGAGGUACCGUAUCCUUUGGUGAUGAUUCAAAAGGUAGAAUUCAUGGUAUAGGAACGGUUGGUUAGAACUCCCAAACUCAAAUAAGUAAUGUGUUAUUGGUUAAUGGUUUGAAGCAUAAUUUAUUGAGCAUUAGUCAAUUAUGUGACAAAAGAUUUAAAGUAUGUUUUGAUUCAAAUAAGUGUGUAGUAAUAGACAUAGGCACAAACAAAGUCUCAUUUAUAGGAAAAAGAUUGAAGAAUAUGUAUGUCGUUUUUCUUGAGGAUCUUGAAAUAGAUAGUGAAAUAUGUCUUGUUGCAAAUGAUAGCUGGUUAUGGCAUAGGAGAUUAGGACAUGUAAGCUUGCAUACUAUGUCAAAAUUGAUUAGAAAGAGCUUAGUUGUUGGGCUGUCGAAUUUAAAACUUGAAAAUGAUAAAAUAUGUGAUGCUUGCCAACUAGGAAAACAAGUUAGAACAUCCUUCAAGACUAAGAAGAUUGUGUCAACAUCUAGACCUCUUGAAUUAUUACACAUUGAUCUAUUUGGUCCAAUAAGCACAAUUAGUCUAGGAGGAAAAUCAUAUGGCUUUGUAAUAGUUGAUGACUAUUCUAGAUAUACUUGGGUUUAUUUUCUUGCUCAUAAGAAUGAUGCUCUAUAAGUUUUUAUAAGUCAUUGUAGUAAAGUAGAGAAUGAAAAAGGACUAGCCAUAGUUAGCAUAAGGAGAUCAUGGAGGAGAAUUUGAAAAUGAUGAAUUUGAGAAAUUUUGCAAUGAAAAUGGAUUGGAUCACAAUUUCUCUACACCUAGAACACCCCAGCAAAAUGGAGUGGCAAAGAGGAAAAAUCGAACCUUAAAAGAAAUGGCUAGAACUAUGUUAUGUGAGAAUAACCUACCAAAAUAUUUUUGGGCUGAGGUUGUGCACACAACAGCUUACAUACUUAAUAGAGUCUCAAUAAGACCCAUGAUAUCUAAAACACCAUAUGAACUUUACAAGGGUAGGAAAUAGAACAUUUCUCACUUUAGAAGUUUUGGCUAUAAAUGUUUUGUAUUGAACAAUGGAAAAUAGCCCCUAGGAAAGUUUGAUGCAAAAAGUGAUAAGGCAAUAUUUUUAGGAUAUGCAUUAAACUCUAAGGCUUAUAGAGUUUUCAACAAAAGGACUCUAGAUGUUAAAGAAUCAAUCCAUGUAGUUUUUGAUGAGUCAAAUGAUUUACAAAAGGAAAGUCAUGUUGAUGAUGAUGAUGUAAAAAUCCUAAAAAACCAAAUGGAAGAAAUGAGCCUAGAGAACAAUAAGAAUAAUGAAGAAAGGUCAUCUAGAAGAGAAAAUGAAACUCCACCUUUAGAAGAUCUUCAAAGAAUAGAAAAUCAGCAUAGUGAUCUUCUAAGAAGUUGGAGAUUUGUAAAAGACCAUCCACAAGAGCAAAUCAUAGGUGACCUUUCUCAAGGUGUCAAAACUAGAAGAGCAACUAAGGAGACUUGUGAAUUUUCAGCUUUCCUAUCUCAAAUUGAACCUAAAAACUUUGAAAAAGCUAAAAAUAAGGAAAGUUGGAUAAUGGCCAUGCAAGAGGAACUUGACCAAUUCAAAAGAAAUCAUGUAUGGUCACUAGUACCUAGACCUUCAAAUCACCCUAUUGUUGGCACAAAAUGGGUGUUUAGAAAUAAGGUAGAUGAGUAAGGAAAUGUAGUUAGAAAUAAAGCUAGGUUAGUAGCCCAAGGAUGCAACCAAGAGGAAAGAAUAGACUAUGAUGAAACCUUUACACCGGUUGCUAGAAUUGAAGCCAUAAGGUUGUUGUUAGCUUUUGCAUGCUUCAUGAAUUUCAAAUUGUACCAAAUGGAUGUAAAAAAUGCAUUUUUAAAUGGAUUCAUUCAAGAGGAAGUAUAUGUUGAAUAACCACUAGGUUUUAAAGAUUUUGAAAAACCAUAUCAUGUUUUCAAACUCCACAAAGCCUUGUAUGGAUUGAAACAAGCUUUUAGAGCUUGGUAUGAGAGGCUUUCAAAAUUUCUGGUUGAAAAAGGUUAUGAUAGAGGCAGCAUUGAUACUACUUUGUUUAUUAAAAGAUGUUUAAAUGAUUUAAUUGUUGUGCAAAUAUAUGUGGAUAACAUUGUAUUUGGUGCAACUAAUGAGGCUUUAUGUAAGAACUUUGCUAAAAAAAUGUAGGGUGAAUUUGAGGUGAGCAUGAUAGGAGAGUUGAAGUACUUUCUUGGUCUUCAAAUUAAACAAAGUGAGGAAGGAAUCUUCAUCAACCAAGAAAGGUACACUCAAGAUAUGCUCAAAAAGUUUGAUAUGCUAAAGCUAAAACCAAUCUUCACACCAAUGAGUCCAUCGACAAGACUUGAUCUUAAUGAAAAAGGAAAGAAUGUAGAUCAAAAGCUGUAUAGAGGUAUGAUCGGUUUAUUACUUUACUUAAUAGCAAGCAGACCAGAUAUUCAGUUUAGUGUGUGUUUGUGUGCUAGAUUUCAGUCACAACCUAAAGAAUCACACUUAAUAGCUGUUAAGAGAAUUUUUAGAUACAUCUUAGAAACUCAAACUUUAGGAUUAUGGUAUUCUAGAGAAUUAUCAUUUGAUCUUGUAGGAUAUUCGGAUGCUGAUUUUGCUUGCAGCAAAACUGACAGGGAAAGUGCUAGUGGAACAUGCCAAUUUCUAGGUAGCAUGCUUGUGUCAUGGUCCAGUAAGAAACAAAGUUCAGUAGCUUUAUCUAUAGUUGAAGCAGAGUAUAUAUCACUAGGUAGUUGUUGUGCACAAAUUCUUUGGAUUAAACAACAAUUGAAAGACUGUGGAAUGACUAUGCAUAACAUACCAAUAUACUGUGAUAACACAAGUGCAAUUAAUAUAUUAAAAAAUCCUGUGCAAUACUCUAGAACAAAACACAUUAAGAUUAGACAUCAUUUUGUUAGAAACCAUGUAGUGAAAAAUGAUGUUAAAAUUGAAUUUGUGAAUACUUUGCAUCAACUAGCUAAUUUUUUUACUAAACUACUGAAUAAAGAUAGAUUCUGUGAAAUUAGAAGAAAUCUAGGUAUGAUUAGUUAGCAGGAAUUAUGAGAAAACCUUUGGUUCAUGAACAUGAAACAAAAUGCAUUUAGUCGACUAAAGUGAAUCUUAGUCAACUAAGAUUAUUUUGGUAACAUUAAAUACUAAGACUAAGUGAAUAAAAUAAGAGCAAGAGGAAUAAAAUAAUGGGAAGAAACUACCUACCGGGUAAUAAAGAAAGAAGAAAUGUUUCGUGAGGUGAAUAACUAAAAUUUAGAGGGAGUUUUGAAAUUUUGAGCAAAUAAAAUAGGGCAAUAUUUAAGGGGGAGUUGAACGGUUUCUUUAAGAGGAAUUAAAAAUGACUGACAACUUCUCUUUCUCCAUUUUUCUCUCCUCUGAAACCCGAGCCUUUGAAACUGAAACCCAUCUCUUCACAUUUUCUUCUAAAACUAUUUAAACCCUUCGCCAUUUAGACAAAACCCCUGUCAGACAAAUUCUUGAAUCAGAAUGGGGAGAUCUCCACAGAGCAAAGAAAUCGUAGAAAAUAAGAAAGGGAAGAGACCACUGGAAGAAGGGAUAGAAAUGGAAAGUCUGAAGAAGAAACAAAAAAUCAUGUUUGUGUCAGUGAAAGAGAUAUCAAAGAAACUAAAAGAGAAGAAGCAGAAAAUGGGAAAGAAGAAGGACAAGGAACCUACACUCAAGAAAGAUACUAGUUCCUCGUCUUUUAAGUUUAGAAAUAGAUUGCAUGAACCGAGGUUCAAAAAUAUUGAGAAUGCACCAAUUUCCUAUGGCAAAUAUAUUGACUAGAAAGUUUUGAUGAAAACUUAGAGAUUCGGACUAGUUUAUCCGACUAUUUUGAUGAACUAAAACUGAAAGGAUAUAGCAUCUUUAAGAAUAAAUCCUAUAGUGCAAGUCUGGUAAAGGAAUUCUAUUCUGGCAUUGCUUUAAAAGAAAAGGAAUUAGAGGAUUCUAAUGAUUAUGUCGAAGAUGGUCUAAAUGUAUAUUUAAAUGGGAAAGAAUUUGUUGUCAUUGUUGAGGAUUUAGGAAGUUUACUAAAAAUCGAGUGUGAAGAAGGUGAGUAUGAGUUCCCAGAAAAGUAUGAUCCAUCCUCAUUAUGGGAAAUCAUCACUGGGAGAAAGGAAAAGUAUUCAUCAAAGAGUAAUUCAGGACUAAUAAUCAGCCCCCAAAUUAGGAUUUUACACUACUUUAUAGCAGCAAACAUUCAAGGCAGAAGUGGAAGUUUGAGUUACGUCAGCCUUCAGGAUCUUUGGCUGAUGGAACAUGCCUUCAAUGGAGUUUCUCUGAAUGUUGGAAGGUUUAUGAUUGAAAAAAUGAGAGGAGCUUGUAGUCUUGAUAAGAUCAACCUGCCUUAUGGGAAUGUCAUCACAUCUCUUGUGCAAAAAAAGGGAGUUUGGGCAAAGAGGUAUGAUAUGGACUUGGUAAAACCUAGAGAUCAAGCUAUUUAUUAUGGGAGCUUAGUUAAAAUGGGGUAUAUGCUCGAUGGGGAAAGGUUCAUUAAGACCCCCAAGACUGGUCCAAGAAAAGAACACAACCUACCUGCUCAACUUGAAGGAGCCUCUUCUAGAUUCUCAAAUGAAGUAAUUUUUAAUUUGCUCAUGAGGAUCGAUGGAAAGUUGACUGACCAAGGAGAAAAGCUAUAAAAAAUUGAAGAGAAAAUCACUGAGUUGGAAAACAAGCUGAAGGAGAAGGAAAACAUGCCAUUUGAACCUGUGGCUGCAAAUAACUCUGUAACAUUUAGCACUGCACCAACACAGCAAGGUGCUGAAGGUUCAGCUAAGCCAGUAGAAAAAUUUGCUCCUCAUGUUAGAAGUUAUGGCAUUCAAGUUGAAGGUUCCACCUACAAAUCUGCCAGUCCUGUUCUGCAGACUAAAGACUCUCACUAUGGGGAUGAUCAGCCAACCAAGACACCCUCUCCUAAACUUCAAAGCAAAAAUGAAUCAGAACAAGGGACUGAAGUGGUUGGUUCAGAAACAGAGAAACACCAGGCUUCUCCUCCAAAUUCAGAGGAAGUUUCCGUUAUGGAUGUCUUCCACCAAAUGGUUAAGGAGGGACAAGCUAAAAAAGACACAACCAGGACAGAAACUCAAAAAGAUGGUGGAGAUGUAGGAUAAGGAAAAAAACCUGCAUCAGCUCCUAAAGUAAAGGCAAAAUCAGGGAAAUAAAAGCCACUACAGCACCAUCAACUGAGGCAAAACUACCAACCAAAGGAAAAAAGACUAUGGCCACCAAGACAGCUUUUCUCAAGAGAAGAAAGUCUUUCAGGUUGGUAGAGAGAUCCAAACCAGUUUCAGUCUCUUCUCCUCAAAGUCCAAUCCUUGUCUCAGACAAGUCCUCAUCAGAACCUUCCCUUAGAAAGUCAUCACCUUUCCGAGAGCCCUCUCCUUUUCCUCUAAACCUUUUCUAUGGCACUGAAUCCUCAACCUCUGACACAUCAGAUGAAUAGAAGCCCCUUCUUUUGAUGUUGACAAAAAGGGGGAGUAGAAUGGCAGAACUAGGGGUGCAGGAACCAGAGAAUAAAUUUAAAAAAAAAAUGUUAGGGUGGAGGGACCAAGAACCUAGGAAAGAAAAGAUAGUAGAACCAGGAGUAGGAACUUAGAAAAAUAGGAGAUAAGAAGCAAAAUAGUCCAGGGGCAAUUUCAGAAUAUAUUUUGAUUAAUUGCUAUUUGCGCCAUGAUGGCACUUGAACACUUAAGUUUAAUUCUAUUGUUUAUAUGGUUGUGUGUUAAACGUGAAUGCUGAUAUGUCUAUGUUGUCUAACUACUACAAAUUGAAGUCUGCUGAUAUUUUGAUAUCCUGGUAUUUUUACUAUCAUGAAUAAAAUCUGCUGAUGCUAUGCUGAUAUUGAUUUACAUCCUAAUAAAUGAUUUUCAAUAUGGCAUUAAAAAUAACUUCUAUUUAUAAAUAGAUAUAGAUGUUGUGUAUAGAAUGUCAAUUGAAUUAUGAAGGGAAUAGAUAAAAUCUGAUGACUGUAUGCUGUUGACAAAACUCUGCUGAAUUCUUUAUGAAAAAUCUGUCAACAUUCAUUGCUGUAAAUCAUUCUAGAUUUCUGCACAUGUAUAUACACAUAUAUAAUCUAAGUGUACAAUGUCAUUCUCUCUAUAUGACAAGAAUAAAAAUUGCUAGAAUAAAGUAAGCAAAAUAUGCACACACUAAAGGGGAGCAAUUCUCAUUUACUGCGAAAAACUAAAAAGAGUAAAAAAACACUAUGCUGUUAAUCAAGGAAUCUUUUGUCAUCAUCAAAAGAGGGAGAUUGUUGGCUCCAUUAGUUUUUAAUGAUAAUAAAACAUUCCCAUUUAUUUGUGUCUAAUAUCUUUACUUGAGUGUGCAGGAAAAUUAAUAUAUGAAAUUAAUUAUUUAACUCUUCAAAGAGUAUAUCAAGAGAAAAAGAGGGAUAAAAAGAAAACAAGAUGUAACUGUCUAACAAGGAGGAAGCCUAUUGGUGAAACAAGGAAGAAUGUUGGUGGACCAAGUUUCAAGUUGAAGGAAUCGCAGGCUGAAGAGUUUGAGAAACAAAACCAACUUAGUCGACCAAGUCAGUCGACUAAGUGCUCUCUGCUAGAAUCUACAACCUGAAACAGAACCAACUUAGUCGACCAAGUCAGUCGACUAAGAACUCUCUGUCUGCAAAUUGAACCAAAGCACUACAAGACAGAUUAACGAUUAGAACUCAUCCUCAACUAUUUCCAACGUAUAUAAAAUUGUCAAACUGCCAUCAGAGUUGCAUCUCUAAGUAUAAAAGGGUCUUCCAACAAUUAGAAACAAGUUUUUAGAAGCCUUGAAUGAGAUUUGAGCUAUAAAAAGUUAAAAAAACUAGAAAAUCUUCAUUGCACUUGUUUGCACUUGAACGCCUACUCUUUGCAUUUGUAUUUUGCACUCAAUCUUGUACCAAUCAGAUCAACCAGUGAUCAUAGAUACUUUCUUUUACUACUUUUCUUGUAUUCUUAGAGUGAGGAAGUCAUUCUAAGGAGUUAUUCAAGCUUGGGAUAGCUUGAUUGUUGUAGGUUGUGGUUAAGCCUUGGAAAAACCACUUUGGAUUUUAGUUUAGCCCAUGAAAAACUAGUGUAAAAGGUUUUUGUCACGACCCAAAACUCUCAUCGGGCCCGCGACAACCGCUGCGAAGUCUCGAUAGACACUCAUUACCACGAAUGCCGAUCGAAACCCCGCAAGGCUUAGCAUCAGUUUCUGCAUCUCCCCAAUGAGCGACAGUUAUUAAAUCUCACAUUUCAAGAAAUCGUAAGUCGUUUCCAAAUCAAAACAAUAAAAUAUUUUUUUUGGCUCACAAGAGCAUUUUCGUCAUUUUUUUUCAAAAAUAUCGAAACUUGCCAAAAACAUGGUGUAAAAGAUAAAUAUGUUCAUACAUACUUUAAAUCAGAUAACUGAAGUAUAAAAUUACUUUUAUAAUGACACGUGGGCCCCCAACUGACCAAAAAGGUGUAGGGCUACGAACCCUUACUUUCUAGAAUGCAACUCCGAGUUAAUUAUCGUCUUAAUCAACUAUCAACAAACUAUCUUGAGCCUGAAAAAUGGAUAGGAAGAGGGGUGAAAUUAUGAUUACAUAAUCCUAGUGAAUAAACAGACACCAUCUAAACUAUCUAAAGGGAGUAAAUGGAGACGAAUUAAAAUAUUCUUUUCCAAUAUAUGUUUCAUAACAUAAAUAUUCAAUUUACUCAAUUAAUCAAUAUGGCUUAUAUAUCUCACAAAACUUGGCUCCUGCCAAAAUCAUUCCUGAGUAUGCCUUGGCCUAGGCAUCUGACCGAGACCACCAAGGCUAUUAAAUAUCUUUACAUCCGAAAUUCUAGCCAUGCCUUGGCGUUGGCUGAGUCUCACUCUCACGCGGUGGUCCACGUAAAGUGCACUCAAAAGCCCAACUCAGGAGAUACCCUACGCACCUCUACGACCGAUGUGAGAAUAUAAAGGAGUUUAUCGUGCCCCUCUAAUAAGCUGGUCCACAGAACCCUGCCACUGCAGUAGCUAAUCUUUAUUUUAUCUACCACCUGAUUUAUAAAAUCCUUAUCUGCAUGAUAUGGCAAUUUAUCGCAAUCUAACCUCUCAAGGCUGAAUACAUAGUAUAUAUAAUUUUAGAUACAAAUAUCGACUUUGCCAUUCAUGCUCACAUAUUGUUAUAAGCCAUAUAUUUUAAAACACAAUUUAUAACACAAGUAGGCAGUUCCAAUCACUCUAUUUUCAAAACCAAUAUUCAAUUUUCCAGAAAAUCUAUAAAAUCAUUUUAUAAAAUCAUAAUUUCUCCUAAAACAUAGCAAUUUACCUUUUAAACCCAUUUUUCAUAAAAUCAUACAAUUGUAUAAAACUACUCUAGAUAAUUAAGACAAUAAUAAGUUUACUCACAGUUUUAGGAGUCGAUAUACUCUUAAUCCCAGUCUUCAAGCACAAUCUCUGUACUUUUACUAGUGUAAUUUACUCACCACUUAUCCACAAUGUACAAUACAUAAUUCACCACAUCAAUGCUUGACCAUUAUAAAAUCAAUUCAGGCUCAGUGUAUAUGCAUGAUAUGAUAUGCAACUUAUCCGAUUAUCACUUAAAUGCGGUGCUGACCUAAUUCGACCUAUUACCCGAUUAAUGACAAUUGUGUCCGAUUUGGCUCCAAAUUGCUCCAUUUCAUUUCUAAUACCUCAAUUCACCAAACAUUAUUCAAAUAACACCAAUUUCAGCAUCAAAACCUUCCCAUUUCUUCACGAAAAAAUUCAGCCAUUAUAGUGCGCUAACACCGUGAUUUUUUCUACUUAAUUUUCUCACUAUUAUUCAUCAUUUUCUAAGCCAUUUCUCUUGAAAUAAUAACAAUCCAUCUCCCACACAUAUCAAGGAAGAUUCGGCCAUGAAGAUUCAUGGGGAAAAUGGAUUCCUUUCUUGUUGUUUUGCUUCUAAAUAUGCUAAACUAACUAAAAACACUAACAUAUCUUAAAAUAAAUUCAAUCCAACAGCUUUCUCUCUCCAUACCCAUUUUGACCAGCCAUGAAUUCAUAAUGAAAACAUGUAAUUUAACCAUGGAAAUUAAGGGAAAAUGCAUGGAUAAGGUAAAUCACUAGCAAAAUCAAAGAAAUUUUACCUUUGCUUGAUCAAAUCCUUGAAUUCCAACACUUUCUCUUUGAUUUUUCCCACCUAGGGUUUGUUCUUCCUUGGUUUCUCCUCUCUUCUGGUUUGGC